UACGGAGGGUGCGAGCGUUGUCCGGAAUCACUGGGCGUAAAGGGCGCGUAGGCGGUUCUUCAAGCGUGUGGUGAAAGUCCGGGGCUCAACCCCGGAUCGGCCGUGCGAACUGGGGGACUUGAGCACUGUAGAGGCAGGUGGAAUUCCGGGUGUAGCGGUGGAAUGCGUAGAGAUCCGGAAGAACACCAGGGGCGAAGGCGGCCUGCUGGGCAGUGGCUGACGCUGAGGCGCGACAGCGUGGGGAGCAAACAGG
Molecule: ribosomal RNA, 253 nt
Filed under: uncultured bacterium
Lineage: Bacteria
Description: partial 16S ribosomal RNA
Rfam family: Bacterial small subunit ribosomal RNA
Source: RNAcentral